Long non-coding RNA from Sinocyclocheilus rhinocerous, 70 nucleotides. RefSeq lists it as uncharacterized. The transcript is spliced from 3 exons. The record is from RefSeq and is a predicted model, not a curated record. NCBI's taxonomy places the organism in Eukaryota, Metazoa, Chordata, Actinopteri, Cypriniformes, Cyprinidae.
AAGGGUGUGACAAGGGCUGGACUGGGACAAAAAAUCAGCCUUGGCAUUUUUGGUCCAGGUGGCCCACCAC